CACAGCUUUCUGGGAGUUGUAGGCCGAGGACUCCUCGUCCCGGAGGCUUCGGACGCUAAGAAGGACGUUUCUGCUCCGCUAGUCCUUACCAGGAGUCUCCUGACUCGGCCCGGGGAGCGCUUUGCCACAACUCGAGAUCUGGGACCUGUAUCUCCACAAUUUCCGGAAAUGGGUUCUUCUGUUAUUUGUAUUUAAUGAACAUGUCAACUUGCCGGAUUCAUCGUGACACUUGAUUUGGAAGAGACCCUUUGGCUGGAAUGCAUUCGCCCCAGCUGUCUCCAUGGCUUUUCCAUGUCUGAAGACAGAGGCUGUUGUCUGUGAUAUUCUCUGUGUAUUCACAGUAGCUAGAUGCAUGCCUGGCCCAGAACUGGAGCCCCGUAACUAUGUAUUAAAUGGACAUAUGAGAAAAUUGAGGCCCGGCUAGGAUUCUGUGGGACGGUGUGUUUUUUUGUUAGAGUCCGUCCACUUUUCGGGUUUUUUUUUCUUUUCCCUUCCUUCAGAAGAGCUGUUCCAAAUGGUAAGCAAUGGCCACUAUUUCAAUCUAUGAAUGUCCUACAGUUCAUCUGAAAGUGAAUUGUGUAGGUCUAACCAAGCUCCAACUUCACCCUUCACCAUCAAGAACUACUCCCUAAUGAAUAAUGUACUCCAGAUUGGAAAGUCCUCAAGUGAAAUGCAUGCGAUUAGGUGUACUUGAGGCGGGACAAGAACGAACGUAUCAGCUGGCCGCCGGGGACAGUUUUGCCAGCUGGAAAAGGCUUCACCUCAGCAGCUGACACCCAAGAUCUUGAAGGCUUAGAGGCAGUCCCCUGAAGGGCUGUUGGGGACACACCAAGGUGGUGUCGUUUGAGCCAGUCGGAAGCAGCUUGCGUUUCCGCUGCCAGCGCCUUUGUGAACCAGGGGAGUGGCCGUGAUGAAAAGCGGCCCGCGUGUAGCUGAGGAAGCGUUGUGGUCUCCUCCAGGGAGAAGAGCUGUCCUCACGGGGAGCUGCUCAUGAGCAGCUAAGCCGCAAGCUCCCGACUGAAGUGAAAGAGAAGAUAAGACAAAGUUUAGGAGGAGCCUGGAGCUCGGGCACAGAGUAGGACAGUCUGAAUUAGAGCAGCCCGUCGGAUGUGCGGAGACUUCACCAGCCGGAGGGAGAUUGGGAGUCAUGUUUCAUCAGGAGAACCAAAGCAUACCACAUACGCCGUCGAGCAGAAGUUUUAUGAUGCAGUGGUGAGCCACGCACGCCCCUUCCCCCAGUUAAUGCACACACGGAGGCCACUGUGCACUUACAUCUUCAAAGAGCCUGGGUAGAGCUGGGAGCCAAUACUUCCACUUGAAGUUUGACUUGGUUGGUCAAAUGUGUUAAUAUUUGCAAAAUGUUUUAACCUUUGGCAUCUAAAUUGGAACUUCCCCAGAUGUCUGUGGUGUGUACCAUAUUUGGUCUUUGCACUUUAGCAGAUAUGAUCCACCUGUUUUCUAAUGCAUCUGCCAUGUGCCCAAGGGCAAGGCCAGAGGAUGACCCUGGGUUGGGAGUGUUUACGCUCUCGCAGUUUGCUCUCUCAAUUUGGUUCAGCGUUGGUCUCCUCUUGCAGAAGGCCUAUGAGAACCAAGCUAGAAAUACAACAAGGAAGUGUUAUGAACGUCCCCUGAAAAUUUCCCCUUUGGCAAUUAAAUUGUCUAUUAACGACUACCAGUGCAAGUUUUGGCACGUCCCAUAACCCGAGGAUAGCCAGUUACCCACACUUCCGCCUGGGCCUCUGGGUCUUCAUCUAAAACGUGAAGGGACCAGGAAAGAUGAUUUUGAGGUCCUCUACCUCCAAGAUUUAGAAUUGGAUACUUCCUGAAUAGUAAAAAUUGGAUUUUUUUGAUACUAGA
This is a long non-coding RNA of Suricata suricatta (meerkat), 1857 nucleotides long. RefSeq lists it as uncharacterized. NCBI's taxonomy places the organism in Eukaryota, Metazoa, Chordata, Mammalia, Carnivora, Herpestidae. The transcript has 8 exons. The record is from RefSeq and is a predicted model, not a curated record.